RNAcentral lists this transfer RNA (76 nucleotides) under Escherichia coli. RNAcentral describes it as "tRNA-Phe". It matches the Rfam family "tRNA". From Rfam's summary of the family: Transfer RNA (tRNA) molecules are approximately 80 nucleotides in length. Their secondary structure includes four short double-helical elements and three loops (D, anti-codon, and T loops). Lineage: Bacteria; Pseudomonadati; Pseudomonadota; Gammaproteobacteria; Enterobacterales; Enterobacteriaceae. The record is from RNAcentral.
GCCCGGAUAGCUCAGGCAGUAGAGCAAAGGAUUGAAAAUCCUUGUGUCCUCGGUGCGAUCCCGAGUCCGGGCACCA